Molecule: transfer RNA, 71 nt
Filed under: Marmota marmota marmota (Alpine marmot)
Lineage: Eukaryota; Metazoa; Chordata; Mammalia; Rodentia; Sciuridae
Also listed under: 1 other name
Rfam family: tRNA
About the family: Transfer RNA (tRNA) molecules are approximately 80 nucleotides in length. Their secondary structure includes four short double-helical elements and three loops (D, anti-codon, and T loops).
Source: Rfam by way of RNAcentral
GGGAAUAUAACUCAGUGGUAGAGUAUGUGCCUAGCAUGCAAGAGUCCCUAGUUCAAUCUUCAGUACUUCUA